Molecule: ribosomal RNA, 253 nt
Filed under: uncultured bacterium
Lineage: Bacteria
Description: partial 16S ribosomal RNA
Rfam family: Bacterial small subunit ribosomal RNA
Source: RNAcentral
UACGAAGGGGGCUAGCGUUGCUCGGAAUUACUGGGCGUAAAGGCGCGUAGGCGGCCUCUUAAGUCGAACGUGAAAUCCCCGGGCUCAACCUGGGAACUGCAUCUGUGACUGCAUAGCUAGAGUACGGUAGAGGGGGGAUGGAAUUCCGCGUGUAGCAGUGAAAUGCGUAGAUAUGCGGAGGAACACCGAUGGCGAAGGCAAUCCCCUGGACCUGUACUGACGCUCAUGCACGAAAGCGUGGGGAGCAAACAGG